AAAUUCUCAAAGUCAAUCUUUUGUUAAUUCAAUUGGUUGUACUUUGGACUUGGAGGUCUUUGCAGAUUAAUAAUCUGCUCCUCUUAAAUUUAUUAGCUGGAUCUCAGUAUAUGCUAGGUUCCACUCGGCGUGAUAAGUUAUCACUCGCUGAGGACACUGUAAAAAGUGGCCAGGAAAUACAGAUGAACCGCUUCUAAUAGUCUAUUAAAUUAGACAAUUAAUUUAAG
This 227-nucleotide unclassified non-coding RNA is filed under the name uncultured Ceratobasidiaceae. Its description in RNAcentral is "sequence contains ITS2". Lineage: Eukaryota; Fungi; Basidiomycota; Agaricomycetes; Cantharellales; Ceratobasidiaceae. The record is from RNAcentral.